AUGCCAUUAAUCACUUGCCAUUAAUUCUUGAACAAUUCUUGGGUUCACCCGACAAAUUAGAAUUUGACAUGUCAUCUAUUUAAAUAA
This 87-nucleotide small RNA is filed under the name Arabidopsis thaliana (thale cress). RNAcentral's name for it is "ATSL160560". The record is from RNAcentral. Lineage: Eukaryota; Viridiplantae; Streptophyta; Magnoliopsida; Brassicales; Brassicaceae.